RNAcentral lists this ribosomal RNA (253 nucleotides) under uncultured bacterium. RNAcentral describes it as "partial 16S ribosomal RNA". It matches the Rfam family "Bacterial small subunit ribosomal RNA", at positions 524 to 776 of the family's 1533-position model. The record is from RNAcentral.
UACGUAGGGGCCUAGCGUUGUCCGGAAUUAUUGGGCGUAAAGAGCUCGUAGGCGGCCAGUUGCGUCUGCUGUGAAAUCCCGGGGCUCAACCCCGGGCGUGCAGUGGAUACGGGCUGGCUAGAGGCAGGCAGGGGAGAACGGAAUUCCCGGUGUAGCGGUGAAAUGCGCAGAUAUCGGGAGGAACACCGGUGGCGAAGGCGGUUCUCUGGGCCUGUACUGACGCUGAGGAGCGAAAGCGUGGGGAGCGAACAGG